Molecule: ribosomal RNA, 465 nt
Filed under: Vreelandella stevensii
Lineage: Bacteria; Pseudomonadati; Pseudomonadota; Gammaproteobacteria; Oceanospirillales; Halomonadaceae
Description: partial 16S ribosomal RNA
Rfam family: Bacterial small subunit ribosomal RNA
Source: RNAcentral
CCUACGGGUGGCUGCAGUGGGGAAUAUUGGACAAUGGGCGAAAGCCUGAUCCAGCCAUGCCGCGUGUGUGAAGAAGGCCUUCGGGUUGUAAAGCACUUUCAGUGGGGAAGAAAGCCUUGGGGCUAAUACCCUCGAGGAAGGACAUCACCCACAGAAGAAGCACCGGCUAACUCCGUGCCAGCAGCCGCGGUAAUACGGAGGGUGCGAGCGUUAAUCGGAAUUACUGGGCGUAAAGCGCGCGUAGGCGGUCUGAUAAGCCGGUUGUGAAAGCCCCGGGCUCAACCUGGGAACGGCAUCCGGAACUGUCAGGCUAGAGUGCAGGAGAGGAAGGUAGAAUUCCCGGUGUAGCAGUGAAAUGCGUAGAGAUCGGGAGGAAUACCAGUGGCGAAGGCGGCCUUCUGGACUGACACUGACGCUGAGGUGCGAAAGCGUGGGUAGCAAACAGGAUUAGAUACCCUGAUAGUC